Molecule: long non-coding RNA, 756 nt
Filed under: Mus spicilegus (steppe mouse)
Lineage: Eukaryota; Metazoa; Chordata; Mammalia; Rodentia; Muridae
Description: lncRNA (ENSMSIG00000012612.1)
Source: RNAcentral
UUCGUAAUUGACUACUUACUUAGUAAGGGCAUUUAUUGAAGAUGAGCUGUGUUUUUCCGGAGUCAAUUGCUAAUUAGCGAAGCAGACAAGAAAAUGAUUGGAUGGUGCCGACCAACUGCAGGGAAAGGCGUGGAAAAAUAGGUGAAAGCUGCUGGAUAAAGAAACUAACAGGAAGGCAGCCCAUAGGUUUUGUUGUCGUUGUUUACGAAUAAGUCCACUAUGUGCAUGCAGUGCCUCAAGACGUCAGAAGGGGGCGUGGGUCCCACCAAAGUUGAAUUAUAGAAAACGGCAAGCUGCCACAUGGAUACUGGAAAACAAACCAGAACCCUCUAAACAAGCUACAAGGUUUUAACUGCUCAGCCACCCCGAAGCUUCCCAAAAUUUCCGAUGAACUUAAACACUGUAUUUCCAUUGAUAUGUUAUCACAACACUGGUCGAUGGAGUUUCUGGAAAAUGGCAGUCAUAACUUUCAUCCGGAGAGCAUCCUUGCAUAUCUCAACUCAUGAACAAGGGUAGCGUUUCUGAGAGCUCUUCUCCAUUAUGCAGUCAUGGCCUGGGACAAGAGACUUCCAAGACCUUUGAUCUCCCGAAACUACAUCUUCCUGGUAUGGUGUUACCCACCUGCAGGCCGCUCAGUCUUCACAAGGGAGUCUUUUCCAGGAGUAAGUAAGUGGUGGACUGGGACAUAGGGAAAGCACAGGCAAGCCACAUCCUUGCCUAUCACACCUCAGUUAUACACUGCUAGCUUCCCCUCUU